RNAcentral lists this ribosomal RNA (489 nucleotides) under uncultured archaeon. Its description in RNAcentral is "bacterial SSU rRNA". It matches the Rfam family "Archaeal small subunit ribosomal RNA", at positions 509 to 997 of the family's 1478-position model. The record is from RNAcentral.
CCUAAAGCGUCCGUAGCCGGUUUAAUAAGUCUCUGGUGAAAUCCUGCAGCUUAACUGGUGGGAAUUGCUGGAGAUACUAUAGACUUGAGACCGGGAGAGGUUAGAGGUACUCCCAGGGUAGAGGUGAAAUUCUGUAAUCCUGGGAGGACCGCCUGUUGCGAAGGCGUCUAGCUGGAACGGUUCUGACGGUGAGGGACGAAAGUUAGGGGCGCGAACCGGAUUAGAUACCCGGGUAGUCCUAACUGUAAACGAUGCGGACUUGGUGUUGGGGUGGCUUUGAGCUGCUUCAGUGCCGAAGGGAAGCUGUUAAGUCCGCCGCCUGGGAAGUACGGUCGCAAGACUGAAACUUAAGGAAUUGGCGGGGGAGCACCACAACGCGUGGAGCCUGCCGGUUUAAUUGGAUUCAACGCCGGACAUCUCACCAGAGGCGACAGCUGUAUGAUAGCCAGGUUGAUGACUUUGCUUGACUAGCUGAGAGGAGGUGCAUGG